GACGAACGCUGGCGGCGUGCUUAACACAUGCAAGUCGAACGGGCCUGCCCUUUUUUGGGUGGGUUGAGUGGCGAACGGGUGAGUAUCACGUGAGUAACCUGCCCCCUGCUCCUGGAUAACGCUCUGAAAGGGGUGCUAAUACGGGGUGUGCUGGUGCUGCCGCAUGGUGGUGCCGGGAUAGGUUCCCCUUUUUUUUGGGGGUCUGGGGGGGGAUGGGCUCGCGGCGUAUCCGCUUGUUGGUGGGGUGAUGGCCUACCAAGGCGGGGACGGGUAGCCGGCCUGAGAGGGUGGACGGCGACACUGGGACUGAGACACGGCCCAGACUCCUGCGGGAGGCAGCAGUGGGGGGUAUUGCGCAAUGGGCGGGAGCCUGACGCAGCGACGCGGCGUGGGGGACGGAGGCCUUGGGGUUGUGAACCUCUUGCGCCGGUGGAGAAGGCGCCCCCGUGUGGGGUGCUGACUGGAGCCGGGUGAAGAAGCGCCGGCUAACUACGUG
RNAcentral lists this ribosomal RNA (496 nucleotides) under uncultured bacterium. RNAcentral describes it as "partial 16S ribosomal RNA". It matches the Rfam family "Bacterial small subunit ribosomal RNA", at positions 28 to 507 of the family's 1533-position model. The record is from RNAcentral.